UUGCUCAUGGAAAACAUAGUCAAGAAAAUGACGGCGUGCAAUGGCUGCAAACAGCAGCCUCCUCGGUAGUAUAUGCAGCCUGUUUCUUGUAUGGGUUACCUUAAGAAACCUUGGGGACCACC
This is a non-coding RNA of Pteropus alecto (black flying fox), 122 nucleotides long. The record is from Rfam. NCBI's taxonomy places the organism in Eukaryota, Metazoa, Chordata, Mammalia, Chiroptera, Pteropodidae.